RNAcentral lists this ribosomal RNA (255 nucleotides) under uncultured bacterium. Its description in RNAcentral is "partial 16S ribosomal RNA". It matches the Rfam family "Bacterial small subunit ribosomal RNA", at positions 524 to 776 of the family's 1533-position model. The record is from RNAcentral.
UACGUAGGGUCCGAGCGUUGUCCGGAAUUAUUGGGCGUAAAGGGCUCGUAGGCGGUUUGUCGCGUCGGGAGUGAAAACCAGGUGCUUAACACCUGGCCUGCUUUCGAUACGGGCAGACUAGAGGCAUUCAGGGGAGAACGGAAUUCCGUGGUGUGAGCGGUGAAAUGCGCAGAUAUCAGGAGGAACACCGGUGGCGAAGGCGGUUCUCUGGGAAUGUCCUGACGCUGAGGAGCGAAAGUGUGGGAGGCGAACAGG